RNAcentral lists this long non-coding RNA (4140 nucleotides) under Triticum aestivum (bread wheat). RNAcentral's name for it is "long non-coding RNA (TAES_LNC027186)". The record is from RNAcentral. Lineage: Eukaryota; Viridiplantae; Streptophyta; Magnoliopsida; Poales; Poaceae.
CCACCCGUUGCGCCCUUCAUCGUAGGUCGCCGACACGCCCUUUGCCUUUUGUUGGACACAUCCCCAUUAGAACAUAUCAUUGUUUUGUUAGUGCCUCUGACUGUUGUGCCAUGGCGAUUUGUGAAUAAUGAAAAAAAGUUCAGAAUAACUCAAGUUGGCAUGUGCGAGUGCCUGCGAUACUCAGGUUGCAGUUUAGUCUCUUCGGACUCCAGAUUGCCUCACUUGUGGUUUUCUAAACUCUACCUCAGAGUGUUACAUCUCAUUUUUCGGCUCACUUCUUUUUUGUUUGGGGAAUAGGAUAUGUUGGUAUUGUUUCUGUUCUUCAGUCACAGUUGGUGGUCCAUGCCCGGGGGAGGGGGUGGUUGAUCUUUGAGUUCAGCUGUACACACUUGAUUCCUACACAUAUUAAGAUCAGAGAUAAUGUGCCAUGGGGUGAUCUUUGAGUUCGGCUGCAGGCAGUCAAUUUCUUAACAUAUUCAGAUCAGAGAUAAUGUGCCAUGGUGACUUGUGUAUAAUUGAAAUUCAGAAUGAACUUAAUCUACCAUGUGAGUGCCUGCGAUACACUCAGGUUGCAGUUUCUCAAAUAUUGAAUGUUUAGUCCCUUGAGACUCCACAUUGGCACAACUUGCUGUUUUCUGAACUCUACUUCACAAUGUUAUACCCGAUGUCUCGGCUCGCAAUUUUUGGUGUUGCUUCUAUUCUUUGGUGACAGUUAGCUAUUUGAAUGAUUUAGCAAAGGAUAGCUACAUAGUAUGGCAAAGUACGUUUGGUGUCCCGCUGAAGCUGAAAGCAUACAGAGCACCUGUAAUUAGUUUUUAGUCGACGAAUUUCAGCUAGAUCAUAGUGUUGCGGCUCUGAACUAUGGUGAUUGUGGACAACCGCUGCUACAGAUCCUCACGCUCGCCUCCACCAGGCACAUGGUCUCCAAUCGUCAAGACGCCCGACCCUCCUCGGCUGCUACUGCUGCAGCCGGCACCACUUUCCUUAUCUCGACCCGGUCCCUGCGAGGAACCCAUCUACGUGCCGACCAGUCCAAGGAACUCACAUCACCUCCAUCAAGGUACUCGUGCUUCUGCAUUGUUAGUUCCGAUUUCAUCAAUGGGCGACGUUUACAUUUGUGUGUCUCACUAGCAGGAAAACAAUGACCUAUGUGAUUAGAAGUAUGUGCUUGCUUCUUCAUGAAGAGCCAAAAAAGGUACCAAUCGGUCCUUCUAUUUAAAUAAAUGAUGUUGCAUGUUUAAAAUUAUAUGUUAAUCCCAUUAUUUAUUUUCAGUGCAAGAAUAUGCAGAGAGAACCAUAGACUAUAAAUACAUGAGGUUGCACUGUACAUUACCGCGCACAGGCUUUCUCCCUGUUACAUAGGCCUUUAUAAUUACUUGAGCUGUCCAUACUUGGAUUAGCAACUAAAUCUUAGAUAAUACGAAACUUGUUCUCACAUGUCCAUUUUCCAUAAUUCUUAUAUGUCCAUUCUAGAUAUUGAACCUAGAAGCAUGCACUUCAUGUACAAAAUAUCUAAGAUUUAUAGUAUUUACUCAUAUCUCUGACCACAAGAUACAAUCACUAACUAUAUAGUACAAUAAGAUUUAAUCUCUGAAUAAAACCUCACCAAAGAAUCUUCAUACAGAAGUAUAGACGUUGAUGCAACUGUAUAGAGCAUGGUCACCAACAGAUCCACACAUUUGGUCAGUGAUGAACUAAUGCAACCUAUUAGUACAUGAGGUAUUUCUCUUUCUUUCUCUGAACUACUCUUUCUCUUUCACAUACGCAGUUCAGCACCUUCUAUGAACUGCACCUUCUAUCAUGUCUGAUUGAUAAUUCUUGUAGUGGGAGGGGAGGAUAUUCGAUCUGAGUAUGUCAGAUAGGAGGAGCAAGACGGAAUUAAUAAGGCAAGAAUUAUUUUCCUUUUAGUUUGGCUCUCUGUUGCUUCAUGAUGAUAUUAUCUAACUGAUGAACAUGGAACAUUGUACGGGACUGAUGAAAGAGUUCUUUCGCUUCACCAGGCAUGAAACUUUUGACCCAUCCCUGCAAUGUAUUUUCAUAGUGCCCUUGUAUAAGUAAAUGGAGGGAGUAUUACUAAAACCAAGUAUCAAUCUGAGACUGGUUGUUUUUUUAUUGUGGUCUGACAAGACUUAAAUAUUCUGCAUUAGUUUUUUAUAUCUGCAGAGUGUGCACAUGACUUUCUUCCCUGCCUUUACUUAUUAAUGAAAAAUAAACAACAAUGCAUGAUAUCUUUACUAAAUUAAUAACACUAAGUAGGAAUUCAGAACAAUAACGCAUUAAUAACAACGGGUAGGAAUUCUGAAUAAAAAUAUUACAUGAGAAAUAUGGCAUGCACCUUAACAUAGAAAUGUCCUUUUCAAUUGCUUAGAUGUUAAUGUUGCAAAUGUUCUUUUCCUGUUCUCUUAAUAAUGGUUUUAGAUGGAGAGCUGCGCCCAUGUUGUAUGCCAACAUUGGUCCUUAGAUUAGUCAAUUUUUGUCGCAGCAUAUGUUCUCUAUAGAUUUUUUUAAAGGUCUAUGGAAUUUCAUCUGCAAGCUUUUGAUCCUAAUGGCUACAUCCUUAUAAAGCUAUUUCUUGUUUGUAAGAUGAAUAUUGUCUAUGUCAAGACUCAAGACUCAAGAGAAGCAAGAGUGCAUAGGAGUGGCAGUUGUUCAACCAAGGUAAUCACUUGAACCGAAUAUUUCUGAAUUAUAAUUAAAAGUGAACGGUUUCUUAUCUAACAUAUACCUUUUGAAAAUUGGUCGUGUUUCAUAUAUAGCUUAGACGUAGCAUGUCAUGUAUGAAUUUAUUUUCCACUGGGUGGAAGCAUUUUAUGCUCUUACCUUUCUUAUGCUUUUAAGACUUUUCAUUUUGGCUUUAUUAGUCAGGACGUGCAUUGCAUGUACACGAUUAAUAGGUACAAAAUGCCAAACUGGUAAAAGCGCACUUUAUUAUCAGUUCAGUCCAAAUGGAUUGUGCAACAUUUGCAUGUAAGAGUAGAUUUAGAUGGAAGUGGAGGGAAAGGAAUAAGAGUAUUAAAUAUGUUAUGUGCAUUCUUUACAAAACUCUUUCCCUUCUGUUACAUGUUUUAGUUAUAUGCUAUCAUCCACCACAUCUGUAUCACUCGAUUGCAAGCUUUGAUUGGUUUGAUGCUGCUCAAUUGGAAUUUUUUUUCUUCCUUUUCUUGAAACAUGGUGUGUAGGCUUUUGAUUGACCUGUAGCAGUUAGCUUGCCUUCUUUCUGUUUGAUCAGUUUUGCCAAAAAAUGGACACCAAAUUUUCUGAAACGACAAGAUGUGCAAUUAGCCUUGGUCUGCUUUUCAUAUGGUAUAGUUCUAAAUUCGAUUUAACACGACUCUUCGUAAUACUUUGUUGAAGUCGAACUAGGCAGCAGGGUCAGGUUGAUUAUUGUUUCAUGUGUCAUGUUGUAUUGCUUCAAUCACUAAUUCUGAAGAUUCGGUUGUCCUUCUGCCCACUUAACGUUGUCAGCUAGAUCCUUUGUGCAUUCUAAUUCAGGUUAUAUUUUUUCACCUACCACGUCCAUUAUGUUGUCGAGUGGUGUUGCAUUAAUAGUUGAGUACAUCCUAUUUGUUUCAAUUGGUGAUCCCACUGUAAAUCCAAUAUAAUUUUUUGAAUUUAAAAAUGCCCAUAUUGUUAGGAUGGUCAGAGGGUAUUACAAGGAGCGAGAGAGAUACAUGGAAGGAGAGAUUACGUAGCAAGGCACAGGGCACACAGGACGCAAAGUGUCACAUAUGGGCUACCGGGCGAAAACAGUCGACCCAAGCAAGGCCCUCGUGGCAGUGGUCAGCACGUUUAGAUCAUAAAUCAUAUGUGUUCUUAUUUUAUGGCUAAUUAGCUAAACACAGUUGCUACAUAGUGGUUCCACUUGCUGACAACGGUGAGGUGCAACAGAGAUUGCCCUAAGAUACACAAAUAUAUUGUUGAAUAUAUCAAAGUUGUCUCGAGCUAACUCUUCUAACUUCUGCAAUAGCCAAUAUACAUGGCAUGUUGUUCUCCAGACAGAGGUCAAUUCAUUUUUUGAUGUCAUUGUCUAUUGCAUUCAUGAUAAGCACAUGCUGACUUUCAUAUUAUCAUUUUAGAUAUAUCUUGUGUUACAAGUUGUCAGAUCAUUGUUGAUGCUCCUACAUCACUAUGACUUUUGAA